UCCGUAGGCGGGCAAUUAAGUCAGAGGUGAAAUCCCACAGCUCAACUGUGGAACUGCCUUUGAUACUGGUUGUCUUGAGUUAUAGUGAAGUAGAUAGAAUACGUAGUGUAGCGGUGAAAUGCAUAGAUAUUACAUAGAAUACCGAUUGCGAAGGCAGUCUACUAACUGUAUACUGACGCUAAUGGACGAAAGCGUGGGGAGCGAACAGGAUUAGAUACCCUGGUAGUCC
RNAcentral lists this ribosomal RNA (229 nucleotides) under uncultured bacterium. RNAcentral's name for it is "partial 16S ribosomal RNA". It matches the Rfam family "Bacterial small subunit ribosomal RNA", at positions 568 to 796 of the family's 1533-position model. The record is from RNAcentral.